CAGGCACGCAAAUUACCCACUCCCGGCACGGGGAGGUAGUGACAAAAAAUAACGAUACGGGACUCAUAUGAGGCCCCGUAAUCGGAAUGAGUACACUUUAAAUCCUUUAACAAGGAUCCAUUGGAGGGCAAGUCUGGUGCCAGCAGCCGCGGUAAUUCCAGCUCCAAUAGCGUAUAUUAAAGUUGUUGCGGUUAAAAAGCUCGUAGUUGGUUCUGCGUGCUACGCUGUCGGUUCGCCGCCUGCCGGUGUAACUGGCAUGCCGUGGCAUGUCCUGUCGGUGGCGUUCGGGUGCCUCGUCUAGGUGAGACCUCCGUUUCGUAAGGGAUGGGUGGUUAUUCAACCGGAGGUUUCCCCGUUCGCCUACUCUAUCCUACCUAGGUGCUCUUCACCGAGUGUCGAGGUAGGCCGACACGUUUACUUUGAACAAAUUAGAGUGCUCAAAGCAGGCUGAAAUUUCUGCCUGAAUAGUGGUGCAUGGAAUAAUAAAACAGGACCUCGGUUCUAUUUUGUUGGUUCUUAGGAACACGAGGUAAUGAUCAAUACGGACAGGCGGGGGCAUUCGUAUUGCGACGUUAGACUUGGCAAAUGCUUUCGCGGUGAAAUUCUUGGAUCGUCGCAAGACGCACAAGAGCGAAAGCAUUUGCCAAGUAUGUCUUGAUUGAUCAAGAACGAAAGUUAGAGGUUCGAAGGCGAUCAGAUACCGCCCUAGUUCUAACCAUAAACGAUGCCAGCCAGCGAUCCGCCGAUGUUCCUCCGAUGACUCGGCGGGGAGCUUUUUCCCGGGAAACCAAAGCUUUUGGGUUCCGGGGGAAGUAUGGUUGCAAAGCUGAAACUUAAAGGAAUUGACGGAAGGGCACCACCAGGAGUGGAGCCUGCGGCUUAAUUUGACUCAACACGGGAAACCUCACCAGGCCAGGACAUUGGAAGGAUUGACAGAUUGAUAGCUCUUUCUUGAUUCAGUGGGUAGUGGUGCAUGGCCGUUCUUAGUUGGUGGAUCGAUUUGUCUGGUUAAUUCCGAUAACGAACGAGACUCUAGCUUAUUAACUAGGCGUUUUCCGGUGCCCUCGUCACCGGCGACACUCAUUCUUCUUAAGGGGACAAGCGGCUUAUAGCCGCACGAGAUUGAGCAAUAACAGGUCUGUGAUGCCCUUAGAUGUCCUGGGCCGCACGCGCGCUACACUGAAAGAAUCAGCGUGUGCCUCCCUGGCCGAAAGGCCCGGGUAAUCCGCUGAACCUCUUGCGUGCUAGGAAUUGGGGCUUGCAAUUGUUCCCCAUGAACGAGGAAUUCCCAGUAAGCGCGAGUCAUAAGCUCGCGUUGAUUACGUCCCUGCCCUUUGUACACACCGCCCGUCGCUACUACCGAUUGAAUGAUUUAGUGAGGUCUUCGGACUGGCGGUAAUCCCUACCGACUUGUCGAUAUCGAUGAACGCUGGAAAGAUGACCAAACUUGAUCAUUUAGAGGAAGUAAAAGUCGAACAAGGUUUCCGUAG
RNAcentral lists this ribosomal RNA (1490 nucleotides) under Slaterocoris croceipes. Its description in RNAcentral is "SSU rRNA". It matches the Rfam family "Eukaryotic small subunit ribosomal RNA", at positions 429 to 1808 of the family's 1831-position model. Lineage: Eukaryota; Metazoa; Arthropoda; Insecta; Hemiptera; Miridae. The record is from RNAcentral.